RNAcentral lists this ribosomal RNA (78 nucleotides) under Streptomyces sp. SID1046. RNAcentral describes it as "partial 16S ribosomal RNA". It matches the Rfam family "Bacterial small subunit ribosomal RNA", at positions 1 to 76 of the family's 1533-position model. The record is from RNAcentral. Lineage: Bacteria; Bacillati; Actinomycetota; Actinomycetes; Kitasatosporales; Streptomycetaceae.
CAUUCAUGGAGAGUUUGAUCCUGGCUCAGGACGAACGCUGGCGGCGUGCUUAACACAUGCAAGUCGAACGAUGAAGCC